This 2902-nucleotide ribosomal RNA is filed under the name Escherichia coli. RNAcentral's name for it is "23S ribosomal RNA". It matches the Rfam family "Bacterial large subunit ribosomal RNA". Lineage: Bacteria; Pseudomonadati; Pseudomonadota; Gammaproteobacteria; Enterobacterales; Enterobacteriaceae. The record is from RNAcentral.
GGUUAAGCGACUAAGCGUACACGGUGGAUGCCCUGGCAGUCAGAGGCGAUGAAGGACGUGCUAAUCUGCGAUAAGCGUCGGUAAGGUGAUAUGAACCGUUAUAACCGGCGAUUUCCGAAUGGGGAAACCCAGUGUGAUUCGUCACACUAUCAUUAACUGAAUCCAUAGGUUAAUGAGGCGAACCGGGGGAACUGAAACAUCUAAGUACCCCGAGGAAAAGAAAUCAACCGAGAUUCCCCCAGUAGCGGCGAGCGAACGGGGAGGAGCCCAGAGCCUGAAUCAGUGUGUGUGUUAGUGGAAGCGUCUGGAAAGGCGCGCGAUACAGGGUGACAGCCCCGUACACAAAAAUGCACAUGCUGUGAGCUCGAUGAGUAGGGCGGGACACGUGGUAUCCUGUCUGAAUAUGGGGGGACCAUCCUCCAAGGCUAAAUACUCCUGACUGACCGAUAGUGAACCAGUACCGUGAGGGAAAGGCGAAAAGAACCCCGGCGAGGGGAGUGAAAAAGAACCUGAAACCGUGUACGUACAAGCAGUGGGAGCCUCUUUAUGGGGUGACUGCGUACCUUUUGUAUAAUGGGUCAGCGACUUAUAUUCUGUAGCAAGGUUAACCGAAUAGGGGAGCCGAAGGGAAACCGAGUCUUAACUGGGCGUUAAGUUGCAGGGUAUAGACCCGAAACCCGGUGAUCUAGCCAUGGGCAGGUUGAAGGUUGGGUAACACUAACUGGAGGACCGAACCGACUAAUGUUGAAAAAUUAGCGGAUGACUUGUGGCUGGGGGUGAAAGGCCAAUCAAACCGGGAGAUAGCUGGUUCUCCCCGAAAGCUAUUUAGGUAGCGCCUCGUGAAUUCAUCUCCGGGGGUAGAGCACUGUUUCGGCAAGGGGGUCAUCCCGACUUACCAACCCGAUGCAAACUGCGAAUACCGGAGAAUGUUAUCACGGGAGACACACGGCGGGUGCUAACGUCCGUCGUGAAGAGGGAAACAACCCAGACCGCCAGCUAAGGUCCCAAAGUCAUGGUUAAGUGGGAAACGAUGUGGGAAGGCCCAGACAGCCAGGAUGUUGGCUUAGAAGCAGCCAUCAUUUAAAGAAAGCGUAAUAGCUCACUGGUCGAGUCGGCCUGCGCGGAAGAUGUAACGGGGCUAAACCAUGCACCGAAGCUGCGGCAGCGACACUAUGUGUUGUUGGGUAGGGGAGCGUUCUGUAAGCCUGCGAAGGUGUACUGUGAGGUAUGCUGGAGGUAUCAGAAGUGCGAAUGCUGACAUAAGUAACGAUAAAGCGGGUGAAAAGCCCGCUCGCCGGAAGACCAAGGGUUCCUGUCCAACGUUAAUCGGGGCAGGGUGAGUCGACCCCUAAGGCGAGGCCGAAAGGCGUAGUCGAUGGGAAACAGGUUAAUAUUCCUGUACUUGGUGUUACUGCGAAGGGGGGACGGAGAAGGCUAUGUUGGCCGGGCGACGGUUGUCCCGGUUUAAGCGUGUAGGCUGGUUUUCCAGGCAAAUCCGGAAAAUCAAGGCUGAGGCGUGAUGACGAGGCACUACGGUGCUGAAGCAACAAAUGCCCUGCUUCCAGGAAAAGCCUCUAAGCAUCAGGUAACAUCAAAUCGUACCCCAAACCGACACAGGUGGUCAGGUAGAGAAUACCAAGGCGCUUGAGAGAACUCGGGUGAAGGAACUAGGCAAAAUGGUGCCGUAACUUCGGGAGAAGGCACGCUGAUAUGUAGGUGAAGUCCCUCGCGGAUGGAGCUGAAAUCAGUCGAAGAUACCAGCUGGCUGCAACUGUUUAUUAAAAACACAGCACUGUGCAAACACGAAAGUGGACGUAUACGGUGUGACACCUGCCCGGUGCCGGAAGGUUAAUUGAUGGGGUUAGCGCAAGCGAAGCUCUUGAUCGAAGCCCCGGUAAACGGCGGCCGUAACUAUAACGGUCCUAAGGUAGCGAAAUUCCUUGUCGGGUAAGUUCCGACCUGCACGAAUGGCGUAAUGAUGGCCAGGCUGUCUCCACCCGAGACUCAGUGAAAUUGAACUCGCUGUGAAGAUGCAGUGUACCCGCGGCAAGACGGAAAGACCCCGUGAACCUUUACUAUAGCUUGACACUGAACAUUGAGCCUUGAUGUGUAGGAUAGGUGGGAGGCUUUGAAGUGUGGACGCCAGUCUGCAUGGAGCCGACCUUGAAAUACCACCCUUUAAUGUUUGAUGUUCUAACGUUGGCCCCUGAUCGGGGUUGCGGACAGUGUCUGGUGGGUAGUUUGACUGGGGCGGUCUCCUCCUAAAGAGUAACGGAGGAGCACGAAGGUUGGCUAAUCCUGGUCGGACAUCAGGAGGUUAGUGCAAUGGCAUAAGCCAGCUUGACUGCGAGCGUGACGGCGCGAGCAGGUGCGAAAGCAGGUCAUAGUGAUCCGGUGGUUCUGAAUGGAAGGGCCAUCGCUCAACGGAUAAAAGGUACUCCGGGGAUAACAGGCUGAUACCGCCCAAGAGUUCAUAUCGACGGCGGUGUUUGGCACCUCGAUGUCGGCUCAUCACAUCCUGGGGCUGAAGUAGGUCCCAAGGGUAUGGCUGUUCGCCAUUUAAAGUGGUACGCGAGCUGGGUUUAGAACGUCGUGAGACAGUUCGGUCCCUAUCUGCCGUGGGCGCUGGAGAACUGAGGGGGGCUGCUCCUAGUACGAGAGGACCGGAGUGGACGCAUCACUGGUGUUCGGGUUGUCAUGCCAAUGGCACUGCCCGGUAGCUAAAUGCGGAAGAGAUAAGUGCUGAAAGCAUCUAAGCACGAAACUUGCCCCGAGAUGAGUUCUCCCUGACUCCCUGAGAGUCCUGAAGGAACGUUGAAGACGACGACGUUGAUAGGCCGGGUGUGUAAGCGCAGCGAUGCGUUGAGCUAACCGGUACUAAUGAACCGUGAGGCUUAACCUU